Molecule: long non-coding RNA, 305 nt
Filed under: Solanum tuberosum (potato)
Lineage: Eukaryota; Viridiplantae; Streptophyta; Magnoliopsida; Solanales; Solanaceae
Description: long non-coding RNA (STUB_LNC006721)
Source: RNAcentral
CUGCAUAUUGAGUAGCAAGCACAUAUAGCUCCCAGAGAAUAAGAAGCUAGCAUAUUUAGAGGUAAUGUACUUUCCUGAACAGAACAGCUGGCAUGCCAUCCAAAAUAAAUGAUAUAAUGGACCAAUUGAAAUGGAUUCCAAUUGUAACUUUUCACUUAUAUGUAAGAGACAAGAUACAUACUACCACUUAAUGCCACACUAGUUAGCACAGACUGAUUGCUUAGUCAUCCAAUUAACUUUUUCUUGUUAAUCUUUCCUUCUUUUAUGUGGGUAGGGGAGGGGGGUGUUGAGAUCGAACAUACCUG